RNAcentral lists this unclassified non-coding RNA (1942 nucleotides) under Hevea brasiliensis (rubber tree). The record is from RNAcentral. Lineage: Eukaryota; Viridiplantae; Streptophyta; Magnoliopsida; Malpighiales; Euphorbiaceae.
UAGAUAAUUCUUGAGGCAAGGUCUGGAAGAGAUUUGUUUAUCUUUUGCAAGUUACUGAUAUGGAAGGCUGGUUGCUAUUCUUAUUAAGUUUGUUUUUGGGGCAAGCUAGUUCUUUACCCAUUUUGAAAGUAUGCGAUUUCCCCUUUAUCUUUCACGUAAUCUGUAUAUGUUGGCAUGAUGUUGAUGAACAUUGAGGUCUGCUACUCUGCACUGUUUUGUUCUUUAUCUUUCACCACUGGAUUGGCAUUGCUAUUUUAGCAUGCUUUCUGCUCCCUUUGAUGAUUUCGUUACCAUUUUAGUUCUGAUAUUAAUCACAGGUGGUAAUUUACUCACCAGCUAGAACUGCAACACAACAAGGAUCUGGAAAAGUUGGAAGGUGGAAAAUCAAUUUUAUGUCAACGCAAAAGUGGGAAAAUCCGUUGAUGGGUUGGACAUCCACAGGGGAUCCAUAUGCCAAUGUUGGUGAUGCUGGACUCAGUUUUGACAGUGAAGAAGCUGCAAGGGCAUUUGCUGAGCGACAUGGUUGGGAAUAUGUGGUUUUAUGUCCCUUUUUUUUCCUGUUUCAAAUUACUACACAAACAAAUAUUAUUGCUAGUUUGGGAUUCCACAGACAGGAGGAUAAUGUGAGAUGCAAUUAUGAUGUUGUCCCUUUGUUGAAAUGUUCUGUGAUACUGCUCCUCUAGAAAAGGGAAGAGACGGUUUUUUUAAUAUCAUCACUGUCUCUGGAACAAUAUUUGUCCUUUUAAUUUCCUAGCUUUUUUAUUUUUUACCCUUGAAAUUUUACAAUUUUGAUGAAAGUGUUGCUUAAUUCUGAAUGAGGUUCAGAUUAGUUUUUGCAUUAUGAUAAACAGUCAGCAUUUUUUUUCUUCUGAUUUUAGAUUCCCUCACUUGUUAAAUGAAAAGGCCAGUUGAUUAUGUUCCUUCUGAUUCUUGUUGUUGUCAUGGUUAUUGUCAUUGUGCAUUAUUUUACCCUUUUUUCUUUUCCCCCUCUUCCACCUCACAUAUAUCGGGUUGCAUUUUACUUUCUUUUUGAUAGUAAUUCUUGAAAUCAUUUGCAGGUUAGAAAGCGUCACACGCCACUAUUGAAGGUCAAGUCAUAUGCAGAUAAUUUCAAAUUUAAGGGUUUUCCCAAAACGGAGGACAAUUGAUUGUAUUUCUCGCCUACUCUGUUUCGUGGUUCUACAAGACAAGUGCAAAAUAGUUUGCAAUUUUUUUCACUGCACAUUUUCGGCAUGUAGCUACAAUGUACUUUCUUGCAAAACCUCUGUCCCAACUGAAUUCUUCUCAUAAUAAACGGGAUUGAUGGGUCUGCUCUUUUGCAUUUUUUCUUUUAGUUUUUCGCUUGAUGUGAGGCUACAAUAAACUUAUUUUCAUGUCCUUGGAUUAUUGGUAGAAAUUUUGUGAUCACAAUUUCUAUAUAACCUAACAUCAUGAAAUUGGCUGGAAAAAAGGAGGCCUUUUAGAGUGAUCGUGUGGGAUAAGAUCAUGGGGUUAGAGUAUUUACUAUUCAGCAUUCCAUGGGUUUGGCAUUUCUAUCAUUUUGAGUAAAUUACCAUUGAAUCUCUGAGGUACAGUAAAAUCCAUAUGUUAGUCUCUUGUUUAAUUUUGUGUAAUGAAAAUUAGUGAAAUGAAAGAGUGAAGGAAGGCCUGUGGCGACGGCGUUUCAUGCAUUGGGCUUUAAGCAGCUGGAAGUCCUCUAGAAGCCAUCCAUCAUCAUCAUCGUCUUCUUUUUUCUUCUUUUCGAGUGGGCCAGUGGAGCAAUGCCAAACACUAUUGGCUUGCUCAAACAAAUUGGCAUCUUCUAGAGUACUUACAUGAAUUGUGAUAAGGAGAAAGUGAAUGAAGAAAAUUCCUGAGAUCAUUUAUGUAUAUUCAAUUAAAAUUUUCAUAAGAUUGGUUUAUAUUUUUGUUUAUAAAUCUUGUAAAUUAUUAAAUAUCUUUU